Molecule: ribosomal RNA, 463 nt
Filed under: uncultured bacterium
Lineage: Bacteria
Description: bacterial SSU rRNA
Rfam family: Bacterial small subunit ribosomal RNA
Source: RNAcentral
GACGAACGCUGGCGGCACGCCUAACACAUGCAAGUCGAGCGGAGAUUGAGAGCUUGCUCUCAUGAUCAGCGGCGGACGGGUGAGUAACACGUGAGCAACCUGCCUUUCAGAGGGGGACAACAGUUGGAAACGACUGCUAAUACCGCAUAACAUUGCCGAACGGCAUCGUUUGGCAAUCAAAGGAGCAAUCCGCUGAAAGAUGGGCUCGCGUCUGAUUAGAUAGUUGGUGAGGUAACGGCUCACCAAGUCGACGAUCAGUAGCCGGACUGAGAGGUUGAUCGGCCACAUUGGGACUGAGACACGGCCCAGACUCCUACGGGAGGCAGCAGUGGGGGAUAUUGGACAAUGGGGGAAACCCUGAUCCAGCGAUGCCGCGUGAGGGAAGAAGGUUUCGGAUUGUAAACCUCUGUGGACAGGGACGAUAAUGACGGUACCUGUUUAGAAAGCCACGGCUAACUACGUG